CACCAGUGGUGCAAGUGUAUUUUUUAAUCAAGCAAAUUCCGAGAGCUAACCUAUUCAUAUAGUUGAAACAUAGGGGAUCUGGACAAAUUUGGACAGGAUGCUAAUUUUAGCCCAUUUGCCAUUGCUGCUUCUUUUGGGAAACCAAGAUUCAGUAACCUGUAUCGACCUGGAGAAACAGCAUGAAGUCAUCUAUGCAGUAGUUGGAGAACCUCUAGUAUUGAACUGCACCUACAACUGCUCAUCUGGAUUUGUCCGUGGCCACUGGAUCAAAGUCUCAGACUGUCCUCAUUGUCCUAGGCCAAGGGAAACAAAAAAUGUCACAAAGAAUGGUGACCUCUGCACACUACCAUUGUAUUUUCCACAUCUGUCCACGGAAGAUUUUCGGUACAACUAUACCUGCUUUUCUGAAGAUCACGAAAGCAAACAUUUCUCACGCAAGAUAGAGGUUUUGGUAUCACUGCAGGCACAAGGUCGACGUAGUGCCCCGGCCACAACGGUCACUACUGAUGUAUCGGUGACAGCGUUGAGUAACCACGAAGACUCAAUAAUAGAUAAUGAGGAAUUCCCAGUUGUCAAAGUGUUGGCAACAGUGACAGUUAUUGUGGCUGCUGUGUUGACAGCCGUGGCUGUCUACUUAUGUAUGAGCCGCAAUCGAUAUUGCAAAGGAAAACCUGCUGUUAUCUGUACAGGCACAACAUCAAGAGAAGGAUCUAGUGUUGGAAGGCUGACAACAGGUGCAUGCUUAACUAAUUGUGAGAGGGUGGCACUGAGAAUAACUCCAGCUGGUAAGCUAAUGGAAUGUACCAUUCAUUUCAGUUGCCAAGCUGGGUGUAUUCUAAGAAAAUCUACUGUACAAAACAUUGCAUUUCCUGUUUUGACCCAGAUUGCCAGAGUGAUCAUGAGGUUCCUUAUGCUGACAUCAUGAUUACUAUGCGAGGGGCCAGCACACCUGAACUCACACAGAUCUCCUACCUAGCACCGGGGGACCAUAGAGAGGUGAGGAUUUGAAACUAUGGCUUUGUGAGUUCUGUGUGAAAUGGAAAGCGCUCUACAAAUAAAAUGUAUUAUCUAUUAUUAUUAUUAUUAUUAUAACUUCUACAACACCACACCGCAUUAUUUUACGUCAACACCACCAUACGUCACCAUAUGUGACCAUAUUACUGACAUUCACCAUAUUCAACGUAAUACGUCAGUGGAGGUUGUGUAAUGGCUAUUAUUGGCUAAUGCAGCCACAGUCACAGGUUGAGACUUUAUUUGAAUCUCACCUGAAAUGGAAUCCUGUGCGUUUCAUGUCCCCCAUGCAGAGGUGGAGAGAAGAGGCAGGCCCUGAAGCUAGGUCCCACCUGCAGGCCUCCCGCUCAGCUGAUAGACUGCAUGUCCAGCCCCGAGAGGUCUCCAGGAAGAUGAGCACAAACUCUGAGUACGCUGUCAUCACCUACUCUUAAUCUGUGGGGCUGGAGAUGAUAAAAGAGGGAAUAAGAGAGAGCAAGUGAGAAAUGACUGUCACUGUACUCAUAUUAUUAAUCCUUGGCUGUUUUGUUUGCAUGUUUUUAACUGUAGCAAGUUGUUUCUAUAACUUUAUAAAACAAUUAACUGUGAGUAUCAUCC
RNAcentral lists this long non-coding RNA (1608 nucleotides) under Salmo salar (Atlantic salmon). RNAcentral describes it as "lncRNA (ENSSSAG00000108578.1, ENSSSAG00020073545.1, ENSSSAG00075034674.1)". Lineage: Eukaryota; Metazoa; Chordata; Actinopteri; Salmoniformes; Salmonidae. The record is from RNAcentral.